Long non-coding RNA from Mesocricetus auratus (golden hamster), 1114 nucleotides. RefSeq lists it as uncharacterized. The record is from RefSeq and is a predicted model, not a curated record. The transcript has 3 exons. NCBI's taxonomy places the organism in Eukaryota, Metazoa, Chordata, Mammalia, Rodentia, Cricetidae.
UCGUCCCCAGGCGCCGGCCCUGCCCAGCUCCGCCCCCGGCUCCGCCUAGCCCGUCAUUCAUUCGUCCAUCGCUCAGGUCUAUCUUUUCAUUCAUUCGUUCACACAUCCUCUCGCUAAUUUCCUCACCCCGGUUGACUAAGCCAUCUUCUCACGGCUCGCUCACUUCACCCACUCACUCCUCUGCCCUCCGGUCCAUCCACCCACACUCCCACCACUUGCUCCCCUCCAGCGGCUCUCACUCUGAACUUGAACCCGUGCCUGCCCCGCCCAUAUCCACCUACGGGCCUGACCUAGACUUCACCUGCUGGGGCCUCCGCCCGCCUCACGAGCGCAGCGGGUUUCCUGCAGACCUGCCAGACACAGCUCUGGAGGUCCGAGCUGGGCGGCUCGCACCGGCCGGCACAGGCCGGGUACACGGAAGGACACGGAAAAGGCUGCGCCUCACGCACCCAACCCAGAUCAACUGAGAGACAGGGCGCGACCCGCUUUCUGUCUCCAGGGUCCGCGGGCCCUGUCACGCCUCGGCUGGAAUUAGAGCCCCCCACGCAGGACCCACAGAGGCACCCCACGGCCUGCCGCAGGGGGAGGGGGCUGGGCACCACGUCGCAGCCCUGGGCAGAGGCUAUCCUGUUCUGCCUUUAUUGAGUGACUACUGGAUGUCUCGGAAACUCAGAGUCAAGGCUCUGCGGCUUCUGUGCAGGUCACAUCCACAGGUGCCCAGCCCCCACAGGAGGCAGGACCCUUCCAAGCUGUGUGACUUUGUGCAGCGCCCACACCAUCUCUGAGCGUCCCUUCACCUGUCAAACGCAGAUAAUGGCCAAUCUCUCUGCUGGGCGUCCCUGUGAAGGUGAGCUGCUCUCUGAGGGAACUGUCAACAGAAGAGCUAACCCUUGCAGACAGAGUGCAGUCCCAGAAGAGCCUGAUGGACAGUAACAGGCAUCACCACGACUCCAUUAGCUCAAGCAGCUCUGCAAUCUUGUUCUCCUGCAACCACUGAUGCCAAGAAUUCCCCUCCCGCUUCUCCGUAGAACUAUUCCUAAAACGCCAUGUGCUGACCAGUGUUCUGUCUCCCAGACACAAUGAACUACACUCCCCCAUUGGAACUACCUGUAUU